Molecule: ribosomal RNA, 244 nt
Filed under: uncultured bacterium
Lineage: Bacteria
Description: partial small subunit ribosomal RNA
Rfam family: Bacterial small subunit ribosomal RNA
Source: RNAcentral
AGAAUCAACGCUGGCGGCGUGCCUAACACAUGCAAGUCGCACGAGAAAGUGGAGCAAUCCAUGAGUACAGUGGCGCACGGGUGAGUAACACGUGAAUAAUCUACCUCCGAGUGAGGAAUAACUUCGGGAAACCGAGGCUAAUACCGCAUAACACUUACGAGUCAAAGCAGCAAUGCGCUUGGAGAGGAGUUCGCGGCAGAUUAGCUAGUUGUGGGGUAAUGGCCCACCAAGGCGAUGAUCUGUA